This is a long non-coding RNA of Sander lucioperca (pikeperch), 270 nucleotides long. RefSeq lists it as uncharacterized. NCBI's taxonomy places the organism in Eukaryota, Metazoa, Chordata, Actinopteri, Perciformes, Percidae. The transcript has 3 exons. The record is from RefSeq and is a predicted model, not a curated record.
GACACAAAGACAGGACAUAGGGCCCCUUAAGUGGAAGCUACUUUUUUUCCCCUUACGUGCAACCUAUUUGUGAAAAAGACCAUCGCUUUGAGCAGACUGGAUUGGCUAUUAGUGAUACAGUCUCUCCCUCUCCCUGUCAGCUUUAACUCGCUCUACCUGGACUAGUAACGUAUCAGCAUGCGGUAGUUGAGAGAGAAAAGGCAUUAACAUGGAACGCUAUCACACUUUCCUUUCUCCCCUCAUUGGACUAAGUUUAUGGACACAGCUGUG